GUGACACUGUCGUCGUGUGAAGAGGGAUGGUAGGUGCAUUAGCGCAACGUGUCUGGCGCCCACUCCUAAGCGCAGGGACCACUUGAGACAGCGGUGCUGCUUGCAGUAGGCGCUGAUGUUCGAGCCAGACACAUGGAGAGCGCCUCCACCUCCAUGGUUGGCAACGGAGUGUUCCGAGUAAUGAAGACACCACAGGAAAUUUUUCAGCGGCAAGAUGACAACCGACGUUACACAGCGUCUUUGCAUCCUUCAGUCUGUAUUGGAAUGCAGGCAUGAGGUACGUAACUGCUCACACAUUAUUUCAGAAAUGUUUUUGGCUUUAUGGUGCGACUAAAAUUGGCAAAUAAGCCGCAGUAGCAGCAAAACUUCGUCAUGUUUAUGAAUCCUCUUGACAAAACAGUGUUAAAAACACGAGCAUGAAGAAAGGCAGCGAUCGUACUUGCAUUUUGCUAGCGCUGUUUUUUCAUGUAGCAAGAAGACAUCCUUU
Molecule: long non-coding RNA, 487 nt
Organism: Dermacentor andersoni
Lineage: Eukaryota; Metazoa; Arthropoda; Arachnida; Ixodida; Ixodidae
Source: RefSeq, a predicted model, not a curated record